UACGUAGGGUGCAAGCGUUAAUCGGAAUUACUGGGCGUAAAGCGUGCGCAGGCGGUUCCGCAAGUCAGAUGUGAAAUCCCCGGGCUCAACCUGGGAACUGCAUUUGAAACUACGGAGCUAGAGUGUGUCAGAGGAUGGUGGAAUUCCCGGUGUAGCGGUGAAAUGCGUAGAGAUCGGGAGGAACAUCAGUGGCGAAGGCGGGCCAUCUGGGACAACCACUGACGCGUGAGGCACGAA
Molecule: ribosomal RNA, 237 nt
Filed under: uncultured bacterium
Lineage: Bacteria
Description: partial 16S ribosomal RNA
Rfam family: Bacterial small subunit ribosomal RNA
Source: RNAcentral